UACGAAGGGGGCUAGCGUUGCUCGGAAUUACUGGGCGUAAAGGGCGCGUAGGCGGAUGUUUAAGUCAGAGGUGAAAGCCCAGGGCUCAACCUUGGAACUGCCUUUGAUACUGGACAUCUUGAGUAUGGGAGAGGUGAGUGGAACUCCGAGUGUAGAGGUGAAAUUCGUAGAUAUUGGGAAGAACACCGGUGGCGAAGGCGGCUCACUGGCUCGUAUCUGACGCUCAGGCGCGACAGCGUGGGGAUCAAACAGG
Molecule: ribosomal RNA, 253 nt
Filed under: uncultured bacterium
Lineage: Bacteria
Description: partial 16S ribosomal RNA
Rfam family: Bacterial small subunit ribosomal RNA
Source: RNAcentral